Molecule: ribosomal RNA, 425 nt
Filed under: uncultured bacterium
Lineage: Bacteria
Description: partial 16S ribosomal RNA
Rfam family: Bacterial small subunit ribosomal RNA
Source: RNAcentral
GUGGGGAAUAUUGCUCAAUGGGGGAAACCCUGAUGCAGCAACGCCGCGUGAGUGAUGACGGUCUUCGGAUUGUAAAGCUCUGUCUUCAGGGACGAUAAUGACGGUACCUGAGGAGGAAGCCACGGCUAACUACGUGCCAGCAGCCGCGGUAAUACGUAGGUGGCAAGCGUUGUCCGGAUUUACUGGGCGUAAAGGGAGCGUAGGUGGAUAUUUAAGUGGGAUGUGAAAUACUCGGGCUUAACCUGGGUGCUGCAUUCCAAACUGGAUAUCUAGAGUGCAGGAGAGGAAAGUAGAAUUCCUAGUGUAGCGGUGAAAUGCGUAGAGAUUAGGAAGAAUACCAGUGGCGAAGGCGACUUUCUGGACUGUAACUGACACUGAGGCUCGAAAGCGUGGGGAGCAAACAGGAUUAGAAACCCGGGUAGUCC